GGUCUGUUAGUCUAGAGGUUAGGACGUUGGAUUUUGAUGCUUUCGUUAGCUAUCGUAUACUUCCAAAGACAUGGGUUCAAUUCCCGUACGGACCU
This 95-nucleotide transfer RNA is filed under the name Ophiostoma piceae UAMH 11346. It matches the Rfam family "tRNA". Rfam says of the family: Transfer RNA (tRNA) molecules are approximately 80 nucleotides in length. Their secondary structure includes four short double-helical elements and three loops (D, anti-codon, and T loops). Further hydrogen bonds mediate the characteristic L-shaped molecular structure. tRNAs have two regions of fundamental functional importance: the anti-codon, which is responsible for specific mRNA codon recognition, and the 3' end, to which the tRNAs corresponding amino acid is attached (by aminoacyl-tRNA synthetases). tRNAs cope with the degeneracy of the genetic code in two manners: having more than one tRNA (with a specific anti-codon) for a particular amino acid; and 'wobble' base-pairing, i.e. permitting non-standard base-pairing at the 3rd anti-codon position. Lineage: Eukaryota; Fungi; Ascomycota; Sordariomycetes; Ophiostomatales; Ophiostomataceae. The record is from Rfam by way of RNAcentral.